RNAcentral lists this long non-coding RNA (250 nucleotides) under Ricinus communis (castor bean). RNAcentral's name for it is "long non-coding RNA (RCOM_LNC001554)". The record is from RNAcentral. Lineage: Eukaryota; Viridiplantae; Streptophyta; Magnoliopsida; Malpighiales; Euphorbiaceae.
AGGAUUCUUCUUUGGAUGCCGAAAGCAAGGUUCAGCAUAGUCUAAGUCAUCAUCACAAGUGCAUCCCGGGCGGCACAUCUCUAGGGCAACAUCCCAGACGAAGUGUCCUUUGACCUGGGCAGCGUAGAUCUGGUGUCUAGAGGACUGGAAUGAAUGAAUAAGGAUCUUUUCCCUUGGCCUUGAUAUUGGUUGUAUCAUGGAUGCUUGAAAGAUGGAUGGAGCUGAAGAAGUUUCUCCAGUCUUUGUGAAG